Molecule: ribosomal RNA, 515 nt
Filed under: uncultured Acidobacteriota bacterium
Lineage: Bacteria; Pseudomonadati; Acidobacteriota
Description: bacterial SSU rRNA
Rfam family: Bacterial small subunit ribosomal RNA
Source: RNAcentral
GGCCGCAGAGUUUGAUCAUGGCUCAGAAUGAACGCUGGCGGCGUGCUUAACACAUGCAAGUCGUGCGCGAAAGCGGCUUCGGCCGCGUGCAGAGCGGCGAACGGGUGAGUAACACGUGGACAACCUGCCCAAGAGUGGGGGAUAACCUGGGGAAACUCGGGCUAAUACCGCAUACGUUUCCGGGGUCUCGGCUCCGGCAAGAAAGAUGGCCUCUACUUGUAAGCCAUCGCUCAUGGAGGGGUCCGCGGCUGAUUAGCUAGUUGGUGAGGUAACGGCUCACCAAGGCGACGAUCAGUAGCCGGCCUGAGAGGGUGAACGGCCACACUGGAACUGAGACACGGUCCAGACUCCUACGGGAGGCAGCAGUGGGGAAUAUUGGACAAUGGGGGAAACCCUGAUCCAGCAACGCCGCGUGGAGGAUGAAGGUCUUCGGAUUGUAAACUCCUGUUAGAGGGGACGAAGGAACGCCGGUGAAUAUCCGGCGGACUUGACGGUACCCUCAGAGGAAGCCCCGG